CAGCCGUAAACUAUGCGCGUUAGGUGUACUGGUGACCACGAGUCACCGGGGUGUCGAAGGGAAACCGUGAAACGUGCCGCCUGGGAAGUACGGUCGCAAGGCUGAAACUUAAAGGAAUUGGCGGGGGAGCACCACAACAGGUGGAGCCUGCGGUUUAAUUGGAUUCAACGCCGGACAUCUCACCGGAUAAGACAGCUGAAUGAUUGUCAAUCUGAAGGUUUUACAUGACUAGCUGAGAGGUGGUGCAUGGCGUCAGUGACU
This 261-nucleotide ribosomal RNA is filed under the name uncultured archaeon. RNAcentral's name for it is "partial 16S ribosomal RNA". It matches the Rfam family "Archaeal small subunit ribosomal RNA", at positions 748 to 1008 of the family's 1478-position model. The record is from RNAcentral.